CGCCUCGCCCGCAAGCGACGCCCUCCCCAGUCCCCCUCGUAUUGCCGCGCCGCCGGGGCCCUCGCGCAGCUCCGACGCCCGAUGCCCUCCCAUCGCCCCGGACGCCCGGCGCUCUCCCCUUCCUCUCGACUCCUCUGCCGCGAGAGCCAACGUCGCCUACCUUCGCCGCGCCGCCUCGACGCGAGCCGCACGCGCUCGGCACCCCCCUCCUCUGCGGUGAAACACGGCCGCCCUCCUCCGCCGCAACCCGCCCUCCACGCCUCCCAACUUGCAGCGUCGUCCUUCCCCUGCUCUCCCUUCAGAUUGCCUCGACCAGCCCAGGUAUGUUGCACACCAGCUUCCCGAUCGAUGUCAAAUCCAAUGUUGGAUCAUCACUGGAUGUCGUGUUGCUUGCAAGACUGUUAAUGAAUUGGAUCCCUGUUAUGUUGCACCAAGCAUGGCUCCAACAGGAUGUGCUGGGAGGGCGAGCGUGGCCCAGGCCGCGGCUCCCGUCUCCUGUGGGAUGAGCCUGGCGGCGAGCUGCGGCUCCGGCGAGGCGAGUCUGUGGUGGCGCGAGGGACUCUCGGCGGUGGCGGCAGCUUGUGGCCCCGUGAAGCGUGCUGGACGACGACUCGCGACCCUACUAUGGCUACCGCAUCACCCGCACCUCACGCCUCUGAUCUGACAAGGUUGCGGCCACGCAUGUCUCUAUGCCAUGCCAUGCGGCGGCAUCACCAUAAAGGGAAAUUAUGAUAAUUGCUUUCUCCAGUUGAAAAGAAUGGCGAAUCAUUUCUUGUGUCACUGCUUGUACCCUCCAAAGCUUUCUCAGUUCCAUUUGCAGGCAUAGAGGACAAGUUGAUAUGCAAGGAGAAUCUUUCUGUGUGGUAAGAACUAGAUUUUCUCGUCCAAUGAGGUCCUUUGUCUGCAAGUCUGCAAUUACCAGUAUAACAUAUUUGGGAUCAGACAUCGAUAUGAAUGUGAUAAUUUUUUUCAUAUUAAUUGUGGGAAGAAAGUAGAGCUCUUUAUACAUACGUGUGCAACCCUAAUCUGUUUAUCUUCCCCUUAAAAUAAAGUUUUGCCAUAGAUUUUGUUUCUUGUUAUCACAUUAUAGAUAGCAGAAUGAAGGAUCUUGCCGGUUUUUUUUCUUCUUGCCAUAGAAUAGUCAAUCAAAGCUCAUAGCAACAACAUUCAGUUCCACCCCACUUUGACCAGUGGUGUUUGUGAAUCUGUUGUGAUGUUUUGUCAGCUUGCUGAAAAAUAAGAGUAAAGCUGGUUUGAUGUUUUAUGUAAUUUUAAAUGACAAUUGGUAUAAACAGUUGCCAUUGUGUUAUGUACUUGCAAACUUUUUUGAUUAAUUGUAGGGAAUUAUCACACAAGAUGAGUUUGCAGCAUUGCCAAGAUAAAUGAGAUCAUUUUUUAAGUUUGCUGAUUUGCCCAAGACUGAGACAAGAUCUGAUUUGUCCACAUUGCAUGAGAAGAUUUUCUUUUAACGAACCGGCACGAGAGGGUGCCUAUUUCAUUGAUACAGAAGGGGAGUAAAGCCAGCUAGCCGGUGACAGAUCUUAGAUUAUGGAAGCACAAUUCAAUUCAAUAGUUAUGUGGCUAUCGAUGGAAUCAAAUCUAGAACUUUUGCAUAUAAAAAAACAAGAAGCUUCAUGUAUGUGUAGAUCAACCUCACGGUUUUCCAGGCUUCAUGUAUGUGUUGAAUGUUUUAUCGGGUUACAUGUGAAUAUCAAUGAGCCAGAAAAUAUCA
Panicum virgatum (switchgrass) is the source of this 1732-nucleotide long non-coding RNA. RefSeq lists it as uncharacterized. The record is from RefSeq and is a predicted model, not a curated record. The transcript has 4 exons. NCBI's taxonomy places the organism in Eukaryota, Viridiplantae, Streptophyta, Magnoliopsida, Poales, Poaceae.